UUAGGCUGGGUACUGUAAAAGAUGGACAAAUUAGAUUUAUACCUUAAAACAAAUUAAAACAUAUUACAAGCGUAAUUAAUACGUUCUCCCCAAAACCUAAACCUGAAACCCAACCUAAAGCCCUAAAUAGUGUUAUUCUACAACCCUUCUCCCUCUCUCAAAACUCUCUGUUUCCAAGUUUUGUUUUCCACCAAUUUGUUCUCCAUCCACUUCAGUUGUUUAUUCCCAGUUUGUUUUCACUGCGUCCAUCCUUUUCUGUAAUUUUUUCAUCUUCUCCUUUCCUAUUCGUGGAUAUCUUAAACAUCAACCCAAAACCCCAAAUCAAAAUCAGCAGAAAUUCUAAAAUAUUCCAAUUCGAAAUAAAAAACUCCUAUUUCGACUUCUUCACUCCGAUGCCGACUCCGACACCUGACUCCUAUUUCUGCAAUGGUUGGAAAAAGUAGGUUAAAAAGCAAGAAUAUUGAUGAAGCACCAUCUUCAAAAGAAAAACAGGAUUUCUUCAACAUCUUAAGAACCCAAGGUUUGACAUCCCUUCUUGGCGUGUUCAUGGCUACCGAUGUUUACUACUGCUGGAGCACAAUUGUUUGAAGAGGUAGCAGAUUGGUCUCCGUUAGUUGAUAGAACUUAAAUGAGGAGCAAAGAGCCUGUUGGCAAUGUGAUUAAGUUUGAACCAUAUAAUGUAAAUAAUUGACAUUUAUGAAGUUCUUUUUGAUGAUUUUGCUAUUGUGAUUGGGAAUAUGUUUGAAAAUAACAUUGUUGAACUUGAGGAGAA
Olea europaea var. sylvestris is the source of this 772-nucleotide long non-coding RNA. RefSeq lists it as uncharacterized. The record is from RefSeq and is a predicted model, not a curated record. NCBI's taxonomy places the organism in Eukaryota, Viridiplantae, Streptophyta, Magnoliopsida, Lamiales, Oleaceae. The transcript has 2 exons.